This is a non-coding RNA of Clostridium cylindrosporum DSM 605, 78 nucleotides long. NCBI's taxonomy places the organism in Bacteria, Bacillati, Bacillota, Clostridia, Eubacteriales, Clostridiaceae. The record is from Rfam.
AGGAUGCGAUGAAGCAAGAGGUUGCCACCUUAAGGGGAAUUCUUGUGGAGAAUGUCCUGAUCAAGAAUCGGGCGACAA